This 253-nucleotide ribosomal RNA is filed under the name uncultured bacterium. RNAcentral's name for it is "partial 16S ribosomal RNA". It matches the Rfam family "Bacterial small subunit ribosomal RNA", at positions 524 to 776 of the family's 1533-position model. The record is from RNAcentral.
GACGAACCGUGCGAACGUUGUUCGGAUUCACUGGGCUUAAAGGGCGCGUAGGCGGGCCGUAAAGUCGGGGGUGAAAUCUUUCAGCUCAACUGGAAAAGAGCCUUCGAUACUGACGGCCUCGAGGGAGGUAGGGGCGUGCGGAACUUCCGGUGGAGCGGUGAAAUGCGUAGAGAUCGGAAGGAACGCCGGUGGCGAAAGCGGCGCGCUGGACCUCUUCUGACGCUGAGGCGCGAAAGCCAGGGGAGCAAACAGG